CCCAAACCCACUGUGAACCUUACCUCAGUUGCCUCGGCGGGAACGCCCCGGCCGCCGGCCCCCGCGCCGGCGCCGGACCCAGGCGCCCGCCGCAGGGACCCCAAACUCUCUUGCAUUACGCCCAGCGGGCGGAAUUUCUUCUCUGAGUUGCACAAGCAAAAACAAAUGAAUCAAAACUUUCAACAACGGAUCUCUUGGUUCUGGCAUCGAUGAAGAACGCAGCGAAAUGCGAUAAGUAAUGUGAAUUGCAGAAUUCAGUGAAUCAUCGAAUCUUUGAACGCACAUUGCGCCCGCCAGCAUUCUGGCGGGCAUGCCUGUUCGAGCGUCAUUUCAACCCUCGAGCCCCCCCGGGGGCCUCGGUGUUGGGGG
RNAcentral lists this unclassified non-coding RNA (369 nucleotides) under Purpureocillium lilacinum. RNAcentral's name for it is "sequence contains ITS1, 5.8S rRNA gene, ITS2". The stretch from base 175 to 328 matches the Rfam family "5.8S ribosomal RNA". The record is from RNAcentral. Lineage: Eukaryota; Fungi; Ascomycota; Sordariomycetes; Hypocreales; Ophiocordycipitaceae.